GACGAGAGGAACAAGCGUUAUUCAUAGUAACUUGGCGUUUAGGGUGCUACGAUUGGAUCUUUAGCUUCCUUUUAUGAAAUACUUGUGGGCAACAGAAGACUGGUAAAAGGCUAAUUUUUAAAACUAUAGAGGAUUCUUGAGUUUAUAGGGGAUAUGGGAAUAUCAAGAGGAACAAUGAAAUGUUUUGAUACUUGUUGGAACACCGAGGGCGAAGGCGCAUAUCUAGGUAAAACUGACACUAGCGCACUAAAGUGUGGGGAGCAAACAGGAUUAGAUACCCUUGUAGU
Molecule: ribosomal RNA, 287 nt
Filed under: uncultured bacterium
Lineage: Bacteria
Description: partial 16S ribosomal RNA
Rfam family: Bacterial small subunit ribosomal RNA
Source: RNAcentral